UACAGAGGGUGCAAACGUUGUUCGGAAUUACUGGGCGUAAAGCGUGUGUAGGCGGCCUCGUAGGUCGGAUGUGAAAGCUCUCGGCUCAACCGGGAAAGUGCAUUCGAAACCACAAGGCUUGAGUGUCGGAGAGGAAGGCGGAAUUGUCGGUGUAGAGGUGAAAUUCGUAGAUAUCGACAGGAACACCUGCGGCGAAAGCGGCCUCUGGACGAACACUGACGCUGAGACACGAAAGCGUGGGGAG
RNAcentral lists this ribosomal RNA (244 nucleotides) under uncultured bacterium. Its description in RNAcentral is "partial 16S ribosomal RNA". It matches the Rfam family "Bacterial small subunit ribosomal RNA", at positions 524 to 768 of the family's 1533-position model. The record is from RNAcentral.